Molecule: RNA transcript, 2512 nt
Organism: Amblyraja radiata (thorny skate)
Lineage: Eukaryota; Metazoa; Chordata; Chondrichthyes; Rajiformes; Rajidae
Exons: 16
Source: RefSeq, a predicted model, not a curated record
GAAUGUGCAGAUGCACAACAGCUGGAGUAGGGAUCGACUGUCUCUACCUGAGCCCCUGGAUCCAUUCUCUGAUGUGAACGAGUGUCGCAUGUCGAUGGAAACAUGGCAACCCCUGUGGUCACACCAAACAAUGCCAAAGCUGGAAGUGAGGAAGGAAAAACAAGUCGGGCAAUCUCUAAUUGAUGAGGAAUUUGAACUGGAGAGUUGGAAGGCACAGCUCGAGUACCUCAGCAGUGUGCAGCAGGAGAGACAUCGAGUCAGCACCAGGUGGGCAGUGGGCGGAGUGUCUGCUGUCAUUCAUGAUGAUGGACAAGACAUGGAGUGCCCAGGUCGUGAGGGCGAGGAUGUUGUAUCAAAAUCACACUUUCUCCAGCUGGUGGAGCAGACGUACCAAAUGCUCUUUGAACGCCUCCAGCAAGACAGACUACAGAAACAUUGGGAAACCUCUACUCUACUAUCAUUGCUCCUGGAUUUGCAUAGAUGUUGUGAGAGAGAAAUGUCUUCCAUUUUGUCCUCACCGAUGGCCCCAGUGCAGAGGUCCCAGCUCUUCCUUUCCCAGCACUACCUGCAAUGCCAGGCCCAGCACCAAGACACUUUUGAGACAGCAGCGCUUGUGCUCGGCAUCAGCGAGUGGAGGCAGAAUGGCCACACCUCACAGUUAUAUGAGAGUAGGAAUGAAAUGUUAGCUGUGAGCAGACUGCAGGAUUUCAUCUGCACAACCUAUCCUCAGAAACCAAGGCAGUCAGUGGUCACAACCUUUGAUCCCAAGGCAUUAGUAAAGCUGGGACGGAUUCACAUUCAGAAGAUGAUUUUGGAACAGUUGUGUAAAAAUCACCAUGAGGAACGAACAUUGCUACUACAGUUUAUUUACAAGCAGAUGAUACCAGGAAUUGAUGUGGAGCCUUGCACAGAGAAGUUGGUAUGUAACGAUACUCCUAUUAACAGCCAGAAUGAAAUCUGGGAUAACCCCCCAUCAAGCAGGCCAGGACAUACCACGGGUAGUGAGAAAAGUGAUCUUCAGCUCAGUCUCUUGGAGAAAGCCUUUGUUCUGUACUGGGAAAGGAGGGAGACCACGGUGCAGCUGAGGAGGCAAAGCCCAGCCAUCGUGGGGCUCAUGGAGCUACAGCUCAUGCAACUGGCCAAUGUCCAGGAACUGACCCAACAGAUGGAGGGACAGUUUACAAAUGACCUGGUUACCACUUACUGCUCACUAUACGAUGACUGGCAGAACAACCAGCACUAUAGCAACCUGGCAGUCAUGUUCCUGGAGCUAGUUACACCAGAGAUGGAUGUUGAUCAGAUUGAGCAGGGUCUGGGAUCUGCUGAUGUUUCAGUGCAUGACAACAUGGAUAAUGGAGUUGUGUUGGACAUCUGCAAGGUUAAACCAUCUGCUGUUAGAGGUGAUGCCAUCAAUUCCAGUGAAAUAACUGCACCAACUCUGGACAACUUUCCAUUGCCACAGGAACCAACCCUUGAGGUGCACAAAUUGGAGGCGCUGGAGGAGAUUUGUGUUGGUUAUCCAGAAAACGUAGAAAAAAUGGAUCUGGGGAUUCCAAUUGAAGCUUCAGCAAAAGUCAAGAGUGAGAUAUGUGAAGCAGAAGGGGGCUUGGUGAGGGAUCAGCAACACCUGGAGGAGACGGAAUCAAAGUCUGGAGAGCUGGAUGUUGUUUCUGUGGCACAGAAUGGAGAGCAAAUGUUUGAGAUUUCUGUUGAUCAUCCGGCCAGCCAGUCACAACAGGGAGAAAUCUCUCUGCAUAUUCCAUUAGAUCAAGCCUCAGUGAAAGCCAUGUCCAACAGAGAGCAAGACCAGACACAAAAGCAGCAACAAGGAGAUGGGCCUGAUUUAAAGUCCAGAGACUUGACUCACAUAGGUGGCCCUCGGUGUAAGACGAACACAAUAUUAAUAUCAGAAGAAGAGAAGAAGCAUGUCCUGAGGAGUCUGGCACAUGUUCAGAGGAAAGCCGAAGAGAAGCGAAGGAGAGAGAAGGAGAGGCAGACACUACGGGUACUGGAGGGCCUUUCCAUUGCUCGGAACAGGAUAUCAACUAUUGACAGACCAUUCCCUCAGACAUAUGGACAGGAUUGUCUCACUGAAGACCUGCUCAAGGAAUCUGUUCACUGGAGGACUAAAGUCAGGGAAACUUUGGAACACCUUCGACAAGAACGUACCUUCAUUCUGAGAUCAAAAGGCGAGAGGAACACAGCCAGUUUUAAUGAACUGUUCAAUCCUGUGGAAACUAAGGAUUUUACUGAUGGGAAGAAUCAAAGUGAACAUUCAAAGGAGGUCCAACAUCCAGGAAUCCAUGUAACAGAUUCCCUCAACCCGUUGUUUUGAAUGGUCUCUUUAAGAAAGGAUUUAGAACGGAUUUAGUCUCAUUGUUUAACUGAAGAUUGGGGAGUGUGGUUUUGGCCCAAGCCCUAUUCCACAGAAAUAGGAAUAUGAACAGGAGGUAGCUACUCGACAGAGCCCUUGACCUGCUCCAUUGUCCAAUGUACCUGGCUGAUUUUCUCC